GUCUCCUACAGAAAGGCGCUUGAGCGGUUAAAUGACUUUCCGAUUUGGACCGUUCUCUAGCUUUUUGCCAUGUGGCGGUUCCUAAUUUCCUAGUUCCGCGAUGCUUUUGGUUUCUCAUUCAGUUACUAGCACAGGACGUGACGUUGUCACGAAUUUUUGCGAUUCUCCAUAAAGACAUUAUUGCAUGCCGUUGCGAAAGAUCAGUGGCUUUUUUAGUUCCUUUUUUUUUUCCUUCUCUUUUCGAAUCAAUCUAGGUUUUCGGGUUUCCUUUCUUUCCCUUCCAAUCAACCUAAAUUCCUGUUUCUGUGAAGUCGACGCAAAGCGCCUCAAUGGCGUACAAGUUUUGACUGGAUUGGAGUUUUCGUUUCUUCGAUUUAUCCAUGCUUCUUAGGAGACCGUUCGGUGCACCUCGAGUUUUUACUUUUCAGGAAUCCGAUCGCUCGGCAUUACUCUGAUAGCCGACGAGUUCUUCUGAGGCAUCAGAAUCUUUUCCAUUGCUGUCAUCAUUUGCUUUUUUCUUGUGCUCCCGGUGAAUUAUUAUGGUCAAGAAAUGCGUCACAAGAAAAUUCCUUCAGAAUCGCUGGAAGUUUUUACGAUUGAGAAUGUUAAAGAAGGUUCAAAGUGGCUUUGGGCUCAUUGUCUCGCAUUACACAUCAUAACCUGCUCCGCUUGUAUUCUUCUUUACUUUGAGUACAAGAGCAUUACUAAGAUGAGGCUAGAACGUAUUACCAGAUCUCCUCCAAAUCCAAGUCAUUUUACAGUUCUUAUCCGUGCUAUUCCCCGGUCUUAACAAGAAACAUACAGUGAUUCAGUGAAAAACUUUUUCACUAAGUAUCAUUCAUCAAGCUACUUGUCACACCAAAUGGUGUAUCGGUGUGGUAGAGUUCAGAAGCUGAUGAGCGAUGCAGAGAAGAUGUACUUGACUUUUGCUUCUUUUGAACAGAACUGCAAGCCAAGUUUAAUGCAAUGUGGUCUUUGUGGAGCACCUACAAGUUCUUUCACAAUCAUUUCGAGUGAGAUGGAUAAUGUUAGGGGAAAAUCUGGCUUCAUUCAUAUGGAUUUGGCUAAAAUAGAAAAGGUCACAAACCUUGGCAUGAAUUUAUUUAAAUAUAUUUGAUUUCUGGAUUAUUUAGUAUUUAUGCACAUCCAACUGUGUAAGUUAUGUUUGGAUU
Molecule: long non-coding RNA, 1172 nt
Organism: Carya illinoinensis
Lineage: Eukaryota; Viridiplantae; Streptophyta; Magnoliopsida; Fagales; Juglandaceae
Exons: 5
Source: RefSeq, a predicted model, not a curated record